Molecule: ribosomal RNA, 487 nt
Filed under: uncultured Gammaproteobacteria bacterium
Lineage: Bacteria; Pseudomonadati; Pseudomonadota; Gammaproteobacteria
Description: bacterial SSU rRNA
Rfam family: Bacterial small subunit ribosomal RNA
Source: RNAcentral
AGACGAACGGUUGAAAGUAGCCUUGCUACUUUUGAGAGCGGCGGACGGGCCCAUUAUGCGUGGGAAUCUACCUGGUAGUGGGGGACAACAGUUGGAAACGACUGCUAAUACCGCAUACGCCCUACGGGGGAAAGCGGGGGAUCUUCGGACCUCGUGCUAUCAGAUGAGCCCGCGUGAGAUUACCUAGUUGGUGGGGUAAAGGCCUACCAAGGCGACCAUCUCUAUCUGGUCUGAGAGGAUGAUCAGCCACCCUGGGACUGAGACACGGCCCACACCCCUACUGCAGGCAGCAUUGGGGAAUAUUGGACAAUGGGCGCUAGCCUGAUCCAUCCUUGCCCCGUGUGUGAAAAAGGCCCUCCGGUUGUAAAGACCUCUUCCCCAGGAGGAAAGGUUGUAGCUUAAUACCCUGCAUCUGUGACCCUUACUCCGACAAAAAAACCCCGGCUAACUCCGUUGCCACCAGACCCCCGGUAAUACCGGAGGGGCG